GGUCAAGCUACAAAGGGCGCAUGGUGAAUGCCUUGGCAUCAGGAGCCGAUGAAGGACGUGAUAAGCUGCGAUAAGCUUCGGGUAGGCGCACAUAGCCAGAGAUCCGAAGAUCUCCGAAUGAGGAAACUCACAUGGG
RNAcentral lists this ribosomal RNA (136 nucleotides) under Clostridium beijerinckii. RNAcentral's name for it is "partial 23S ribosomal RNA". It matches the Rfam family "Bacterial large subunit ribosomal RNA", at positions 1 to 136 of the family's 2925-position model. The record is from RNAcentral. Lineage: Bacteria; Bacillati; Bacillota; Clostridia; Eubacteriales; Clostridiaceae.